RNAcentral lists this long non-coding RNA (565 nucleotides) under Monodelphis domestica (gray short-tailed opossum). RNAcentral describes it as "lncRNA (ENSMODG00000035324.2)". The record is from RNAcentral. Lineage: Eukaryota; Metazoa; Chordata; Mammalia; Didelphimorphia; Didelphidae.
CAUUGAGCCCCAGAAGGCAAAAUUAGGAGCAGUGGUGGAAGAUUCAAAGAAGAAAAUGUAGGGCUGAGGAUAGGAAAAUUCCUAACCAGUAAGCUAUCCCGUAGUCACAUGAAUUACUUCAAGAGGUCACUAUUCUCUCAUCUUUAGAAGAACAUGUUGGACUAGAUGCUCUCUAAAGUCUCUUCAAGCUCUAAAUUUAUGAUUCUACAAAAAAUGGAGAGAUAUUGAAGAUUUUCAAGCAGGCAUGCAGAUGAUGCAGUGAAUUGAGCACUGGACCUGCAGUCAAGAAGACCUGAGUUCAAAUACUUGCUGGUUGUGUGACCCUGGGCAAGUCACUCUGCUUGCCUUUUUCCCUCAACUGUUAAAUGAAGAAAUGUUUGCUUUGAAGCUGCUGGAAGGACAUUCCAAUGAAGAAUCCUGGAGACUUUCGAUACUAGAACAAGUAUCCCUUGAGAGAAAGAGUUCAUAAUUCACUCCUAAGAAGUUUGGAACCUCUUUGCUGAGGGCUGAGUCAACAAGGGCUGUUUUUUGCUUCAACUUCAUUGAGAGGCGGAUAGCAUGGUAG